This 434-nucleotide ribosomal RNA is filed under the name uncultured bacterium. RNAcentral describes it as "bacterial SSU rRNA". It matches the Rfam family "Archaeal small subunit ribosomal RNA", at positions 722 to 1157 of the family's 1478-position model. The record is from RNAcentral.
ACCCAAUAGAUACCCCGGUAGUCCCAGCCGUAAACGAUGCUCGCUAGGUGUCAGACAUGGCGCGACCGUGUCUGGUGCCGCAGGGAAGCCGUGAAGCGAGCCACCUGGGAAGUACGGCCGCAAGGCUGAAACUUAAAGGAAUUGGCGGGGAGCACAACAACGGGUGGAGCCUGCGGUUUAAUUGGACUCAACGCCGGACAACUCACCGGGGACGGACAGCAAAAUGUAGGCCAGGCUGAAGACCUUGCCUGAAUCGCUGAGAGGAGGUGCAUGGCCGUCGCCAGUUCGUACUGUGAAGCAUCCUGUUAAGUCAGGCAACGAGCGAGACCCGUGCCCACUGUUACCAGCAUAUCCUCCGGGAUGAUGGGUACUCUGUGGGGACCGCCGGUGUUAAAUCGGAGGAAGGUGCGGGCCACGGUAGGUCAGUAUGCCCC